Molecule: ribosomal RNA, 253 nt
Filed under: uncultured bacterium
Lineage: Bacteria
Description: partial 16S ribosomal RNA
Rfam family: Bacterial small subunit ribosomal RNA
Source: RNAcentral
UACAGAGGGUGCGAGCGUUGUUCGGAAUUAUUGGGCGUAAAGCGCGCGCAGGCGGUUCUUUAAGUCUGAUGUGAAAUCUCGCGGCUCAACCGCGAGCGGUCAUUGGAAACUGGGGGACUUGAGUGCAGAAGAGGAGAGCGGAAUUCCACGUGUAGCGGUGAAAUGCGUAGAGAUGUGGAGGAACACCAGUGGCGAAGGCGGCUCUCUGGUCUGUAACUGACGCUGAGGCGCGAAAGCGUGGGGAGCGAACAGG